GACGAACCGAGCGAACGUUGUUCGGAAUCACUGGGCUUAAAGGGCGCGUAGGCGGGAGGUUAAGUCUGUGGUGAAAUCCGGCAGCUCAACUGUCGAAUUGCCAUGGAUACUGGCCCUCUCGAGGGAGGCAGGGGUGCGCGGAACUAAUGGUGGAGCGGUGAAAUGCGUUGAUAUCAUUAGGAACUCCGGUGGCGAAGGCGGCGCACUGGUCCUCUUCUGACGCUGAGGCGCGAAAGCCAGGGGAGCAAACGG
Molecule: ribosomal RNA, 252 nt
Filed under: uncultured bacterium
Lineage: Bacteria
Description: partial 16S ribosomal RNA
Rfam family: Bacterial small subunit ribosomal RNA
Source: RNAcentral